Molecule: unclassified non-coding RNA, 241 nt
Filed under: plant metagenome
Description: partial contains small subunit ribosomal RNA, internal transcribed spacer 1, and 5.8S ribosomal RNA
Source: RNAcentral
UUUCCGUAGGUGAACCUGCGGAAGGAUCAUUAUUGAAUGAUACAGUUCUGGCUUUAUGCUGUUGUGCUGGCCCUUUGGGCAAUGUGCACACGGCUCUGGUCACUUGUUUCUUCUGUUCCACCUGCGCACGUCCUGUAGACACGCUGUGUCUAUGAUAUUUGUUAACACAAAACAAUGUUAGUUGGCAUGUUAUAUAUAAUAAUAAAAUAUACAACUUUCAACAACGGAUCUCUUGGCUCUC